RNAcentral lists this non-coding RNA (196 nucleotides) under Proboscia inermis. Lineage: Eukaryota; Bacillariophyta; Melosirophyceae; Probosciales; Probosciaceae. The record is from RNAcentral.
AAUGUUUUUUUGUUUAAGAUUGAUUUUUUGUUUUCAUUUUCUACGUGUUUGGUCUUUUCUUUCGUGAGGGUGUGUAGAUUUUGUGCGUGAGUCAAAACAUACUGCUCAGGAGGAGGAAGAUACAGUAGACGAGAUGAAAAUUCAAAGUAAAGGAACAGGAGACGGAAGGAAGGAAAGCAAAUAAGUUUCUAUUUAU